GACAGAGGGUGCAAACGUUGCUCGGAAUCACUGGGCGUAAAGGGCGUGUAGGCGGGACGGCAAGUCAGAUGUGAAAUCCCUGGGCUCAACCCAGGAACUGCAUUUGAAACUCCCUUUCUUGAGUACCGGAGAGGAAAGUGGAAUUCCUGGUGUAGAGGUGAAAUUCGUAGAUAUCAGGAGGAACACCGGUGGCGAAGGCGGCUUUCUGGACGGUAACUGACGCUGAGACGCGAAAGCGUGGGGAGCAAACAGG
RNAcentral lists this ribosomal RNA (253 nucleotides) under uncultured bacterium. RNAcentral's name for it is "partial 16S ribosomal RNA". It matches the Rfam family "Bacterial small subunit ribosomal RNA", at positions 524 to 776 of the family's 1533-position model. The record is from RNAcentral.